Molecule: ribosomal RNA, 301 nt
Filed under: uncultured bacterium
Lineage: Bacteria
Description: partial 16S ribosomal RNA
Rfam family: Bacterial small subunit ribosomal RNA
Source: RNAcentral
CAGUAGCCGCGGGAAUACGUAGGUGGCAAGCGUUGUCCGGAAUUAUUGGGCGUAAAGGGCUCGCAGGCGGUUUCUUAAGUCUGAUGUGAAAGCCCCCGGCUCAACCGGGGAGGGUCAUUGGAAACUGGGAAACUUGAGUGCAGAAGAGGAGAGUGGAAUUCCACGUGUAGCGGUGAAAUGCGUAGAGAUGUGGAGGAACACCAGUGGCGAAGGCGACUCUCUGGUCUGUAACUGACGCUGAGGAGCGAGAGCGUGGGGAGCGAACAGGAUUAGAUACCCCGGUAGUCCCUGUCUCUUAUAC